Molecule: ribosomal RNA, 486 nt
Filed under: uncultured bacterium
Lineage: Bacteria
Description: bacterial SSU rRNA
Rfam family: Bacterial small subunit ribosomal RNA
Source: RNAcentral
AUUGAACGCUGGCGGCAUGCCUUACACAUGCAAGUCGAACGGUAACAGGUCUUCGGAUGCUGACGAGUGGCGAACGGGUGAGUAAUAUAUCGGAACGUGCCCAGUCGUGGGGGAUAACGCAGCGAAAGCUGUGCUAAUACCGCAUACGAUCUAUGGAUGAAAGCGGGGGAUCGCAAGACCUCGCGCGAUUGGAGCGGCCGAUAUCAGAUUAGGUAGUUGGUGGGGUAAAGGCCCACCAAGCCAACGAUCUGUAGCUGGUCUGAGAGGACGACCAGCCACACUGGAACUGAGACACGGUCCAGACUCCUACGGGAGGCAGCAGUGGGGAAUUUUGGACAAUGGGCGCAAGCCUGAUCCAGCCAUGCCGCGUGAGUGAAGAAGGCCUCGGUUGUAAGCUCUUCGGUCCGGAAGGAAAUACGCAUGGGUUAAGUACCUCGUGUGGAGUGACGGUACCGGAAUAAGAAGACACCGGCGUAACUACGUGCC